GAUGAACGCUGGCGGCGUGCCUAAUACAUGCAAGUCGAGCGAACGGACGAGAAGCUUGCUUCUCUGAUGUUAGCGGCGGACGGGUGAGUAACACGUGGAUAACCUACCUAUAAGACUGGGAUAACUUCGGGAAACCGGAUCUAAUACCGGAUGAUAUUUUGAACCGCAUGGUUCAAAAGUGAAAGACGGUCUUGCUGUCACUUAUAGCUGGAUCCGCGCUGCAUUAGCUAGUUGGUAAGGUAACGGCUUACCAAGGCAACGAUGCGUAGCCGACCUGAUAGGGUGGUCGGCGACACUGGAGCGUGGACGCGGUCAAGACUCCUACGAGAGGGCGCAGUAGGGAAUGGGACGCAAUAGGCGAAAGCCUGACGGAGCGACGGCGCGUGAGUGAUGAAGGUCUUGGGUUCGUGAAAAUGGGUUAUGAGUGAAGAACAUAUGUGUAAGGAAAUGUACACAUCUUGACGGUACCUAAUCAGAAAGCCACGGCUAACUACGUG
Molecule: ribosomal RNA, 497 nt
Filed under: uncultured bacterium
Lineage: Bacteria
Description: partial 16S ribosomal RNA
Rfam family: Bacterial small subunit ribosomal RNA
Source: RNAcentral